ACUGCUCAGUAACACGUGGAUAACCUGCCCUAAGGAAGGGGAUAACCCCGGGAAACUGGGGAUAAUACCCUAUAGGUUACAGAUGCUGGAAUGCCCUGUAACCCAAAGCUCCGGCGCCUUAGGAUGGAUCUGCGGCCGAUUAGGUUGUUGUUGGGGUAACGGCCCAACAAGCCAGUAAUCGGUACGGGUUGUGGGAGCAAGAGCCCGGAGUUGGAUUCUGAGACACGAAUCCAGGCCCUACGGGGCGCAGCAGGCGCGAAAACUUUACAAUGCGGGCAACCGUGAUAAGGGAACCUCGAGUGCCUGUACAUGCAGGCUGUUCGGGUGUCUAAAACACACCUGAAGAAAGGGCCGGGCAAGACCGGUGCCAGCAGCCGCGGUAAUACGAU
This 389-nucleotide ribosomal RNA is filed under the name uncultured archaeon. RNAcentral's name for it is "bacterial SSU rRNA". It matches the Rfam family "Archaeal small subunit ribosomal RNA", at positions 85 to 480 of the family's 1478-position model. The record is from RNAcentral.